RNAcentral lists this ribosomal RNA (316 nucleotides) under Klebsiella pneumoniae. Its description in RNAcentral is "bacterial SSU rRNA". It matches the Rfam family "Bacterial small subunit ribosomal RNA", at positions 481 to 796 of the family's 1533-position model. Lineage: Bacteria; Pseudomonadati; Pseudomonadota; Gammaproteobacteria; Enterobacterales; Enterobacteriaceae. The record is from RNAcentral.
GAAGAAUAAGCACCGGCUAACUACGUGCCAGCAGCCGCGGUAAUACGUAGGGUGCAAGCGUUAAUCGGAAUUACUGGGCGUAAAGCGUGCGCAGGCGGUUAUGUAAGACAGAGGUGAAAUCCCCGGGCUCAACCUGGGAACUGCCUUUGUGACUGCAUAGCUAGAGUACGGUAGAGGGGGAUGGAAUUCCGCGUGUAGCAGUGAAAUGCGUAGAUAUGCGGAGGAACACCGAUGGCGAAGGCAAUCCCCUGGACCUGUACUGACGCUCAUGCACGAAAGCGUGGGGAGCAAACAGGAUUAGAUACCCUAGUAGUCC